CAUAUCACCCAGCAGCCCAAGACUGGUUGCCCACUGAAGCUAAGUAGGGUUGAGCCUGGUCAGUACCUGGAUGGGAGACCUCCUGGGAAAAACUUNNN
This 98-nucleotide ribosomal RNA is filed under the name Sinocyclocheilus rhinocerous. The record is from RNAcentral. Lineage: Eukaryota; Metazoa; Chordata; Actinopteri; Cypriniformes; Cyprinidae.